GGAAUUUUCCGCAAUGGGCGAAAGCCUGACGGAGCAACGCCGCGUGAGUGAUGAAGGUCUUCGGAUCGUAAAACUCUGUUAUCAGGGAAGAACAAAUGUACGGUACCUAAUCAGAAAGCCACGGCUAACUACGUGCCAGCAGCCGCGGUAAUACGUAGGUGGCAAGCGUUAUCCGGAAUUAUUGGGCGUAAAGCGCGCGUAGGCGGUUUUUUAAGUCUGAUGUGAAAGCCCACGGCUCAACCGUGGAGGGUCAUUGGAAACUGGAAAACUUGAGUGCAGAAGAGGAAAGUGGAAUUCCAUGUGUAGCGGUGAAAUGCGCAGAGAUAUGGAGGAACACCAGUGGCGAAGGCGACUUUCUGGUCUGUAACUGACGCUGAUGUGCGAAAGCGUGGGGAUCAAACAGGAUUAGAUACCCCAGUAGUC
RNAcentral lists this ribosomal RNA (423 nucleotides) under uncultured bacterium. RNAcentral's name for it is "bacterial SSU rRNA". It matches the Rfam family "Bacterial small subunit ribosomal RNA", at positions 358 to 795 of the family's 1533-position model. The record is from RNAcentral.